GAGAGCAUAGCUCAAGUGGUAGAUAGAGCAUGUGCUUAGUAUGCAGAAGGUCUUGGGUUCAAUCCCCAGUACCUCCA
RNAcentral lists this transfer RNA (77 nucleotides) under Camelus bactrianus (Bactrian camel). It matches the Rfam family "tRNA". Rfam says of the family: Transfer RNA (tRNA) molecules are approximately 80 nucleotides in length. Lineage: Eukaryota; Metazoa; Chordata; Mammalia; Artiodactyla; Camelidae. The record is from Rfam by way of RNAcentral. RNAcentral also lists the same sequence under 1 other name.